ACCGUGGUAAUUCUAGAGCUAAUACAUGCUGAAAACCCCAACUUCGGGAGGGGUGUAUUUAUUAGAUAAAAAACCAACGCCCUUCGGGGCUUCUUGGUGAUUCAUGAUAACUUCACGGAUCGCAUGGCCUUGCGCCGGCGACGGUUCAUUCAAAUUUCGGCCCUAUCAACUUUCGAUGGUAAGGUAUUGGCUUACCAUGGUUUCAACGGGUAACGAGUAAAUAAGGUUCGAUUCCGGUGAGGGAGCCUGACCUCGGCUACAACAUCCAAGGUUGGCAGCAGGCGCGCAAAUUAUCCACUCCCGACACGGUGAGGUAGUGACAGUACUCACUGAUACAGGGCUCUUCUGGAUCUUGUCACUGGAAUGAGUACACCUGCCACCUCUUAACGAGUAUCAACUGCAAGCUAAGUCUGGGGCAAACAGCCGCGAUAAUUCCUGGUCCCUGAACGUAUAUCAGAGGUGUUGCACUUACUUGCUCGCAAUUGAAACUUGUUCAUGGCUGUCAGGUGCACUCUCAUCGCGUGUACAUUGUCCAGGACGAGCCCUGUCCUCUCUGGUAGUAUCGUCAUGUACCAUCACUGUGUCGUGUUGGGGGAAACCAUUGACGUUUUCACGUUUGCAAUACAUUGGAUGUGUUUCAGACGCAUGUCUUAUGACUCGAUCUACGUGAGUCAUGAAACACUAUAUCACUCAGGUACGUCGCGGUAAAUA
RNAcentral lists this ribosomal RNA (711 nucleotides) under Didymella macrostoma. RNAcentral's name for it is "SSU rRNA". It matches the Rfam family "Eukaryotic small subunit ribosomal RNA", at positions 146 to 763 of the family's 1831-position model. The record is from RNAcentral. Lineage: Eukaryota; Fungi; Ascomycota; Dothideomycetes; Pleosporales; Didymellaceae.